This 444-nucleotide ribosomal RNA is filed under the name uncultured bacterium. Its description in RNAcentral is "partial 16S ribosomal RNA". It matches the Rfam family "Bacterial small subunit ribosomal RNA", at positions 338 to 795 of the family's 1533-position model. The record is from RNAcentral.
CCUACGGGUGGCUGCAGUGGGGAAUAUUGGGCAAUGGAGGAAACUCUGACCCAGCAAUGCCGCGUGAAUGAAGAAGGUCUUCGGAUUGUAAAGUUCUUUAGUCAGGGAAGAAUAAAAUGACGGUACCUGAAGAAUAAGCUCCGGCUAACUACGUGCCAGCAGCCGCGGUAAUACGUAGGGAGCAAGCGUUGUUCGGAAUGACUGGGCGUAAGGGGUGCGUAGGCGGUUUUACAAGUUAGAAGUUAAAUACCCAGGGCUUAACUCGGGUGCGGCUUCUAAUACUGUAAGACUUGAGUGCAGUAGAGGGUAGCGGAAUUACUGGUGUAGCAGUGAAAUGCGUAGAUAUCGGGAGGAACACUAGAGGCGAAGGCGGGUACCUGGACGUUAACUGACGCUGAGGCACGAAUGCCAGGGGAGCGAACGGGAUUAGAUACCCGGGUAGUC